UAGAAUUCCACGUGUAGCGGUGAAAUGCGUAGAGAUGUGGAGGAAUACCGGUGGCGAAGGCGGCCUUCUGGACAGAUACUGACGCUGAGAUGCGAAAGCGUGGGGAGCAAACAGGAUUAGAUACCCUGGUAGUCCACGCUGUAAACGAUGUCGAUUUGGAGUUUGUUGCCCUGAGUGAUGGGCUCCGAAGCUAACGCGAUAAAUCGACCGCCUGGGGAGUACGGCCGCAAGGUUAAAACUCAAAUGAAUUGACGGGGGCCCGCACAAGCGGUGGAGCAUGUGGUUUAAUUCGAUGCAACGCGAAGAACCUUACUGGUCUUGACAUCCACAGAAUCUUGCAGAGAUGCGAGAGUGCCUUCGGGAACUGUGAGACAGGUGCUGCAUGGCUGUCGUCAGCUCGUGUUGUGAAAUGUUGGGUUAAGUCCCGCAACGAGCGCAACCCUUAUCCUUUGUUGCCAGCGAUUCGGUCGGGAACUCAAAGGAGACUGCCGUUGAUAAAGCGGAGGAAGGUGGGGACGACGUCAAGUCAUCAUGGCCCUUACGACCAGGGCUACACACGUGCUACAAUGGCGUAUACAAAGGGAGGCGACCUCGCGAGAGCAAGCGGACCUCAUAAAGUACGUCUAAGUCCGGAUUGGAGUCUGCAACUCGACUCCAUGAAGUCGGAAUCGCUAGUAAUCGUGAAUCAGAAUGU
RNAcentral lists this ribosomal RNA (694 nucleotides) under uncultured Gilliamella sp. RNAcentral's name for it is "bacterial SSU rRNA". It matches the Rfam family "Bacterial small subunit ribosomal RNA", at positions 662 to 1357 of the family's 1533-position model. Lineage: Bacteria; Pseudomonadati; Pseudomonadota; Gammaproteobacteria; Orbales; Orbaceae. The record is from RNAcentral.